AGGAAACCAACAGGGAUUGCCCCAGUAACGGCGAGUGAAGCGGCAACAGCUCAAAUUUGAAAUCUGGCCCCCAGGGCCCGAGUUGUAAUUUGCAGAGGAUGCUUUUGGCGCGGUGCCUUCCGAGUUCCCUGGAACGGGACGCCAUAGAGGGUGAGAGCCCCGUCUGGUCGGACGCCUAGCCUAUGUAAAGCUCCUUCGACGAGUCGAGUAGUUUGGGAAUGCUGCUCUAAAUGGGAGGUAUAUGUCUUCUAAAGCUAAAUAUUGGCCAGAGACCGAUAGCGCACAAGUAGAGUGAUCGAAAGAUGAAAAGCACUUUGAAAAGAGGGUUAAAUAGUACGUGAAAUUGUUGAAAGGGAAGCGCUUAUGACCAGACUUGGGCCCGGUGGAUCAUCCAGCGUUCUCGCUGGUGCACUCCGCCGGGUUCAGGCCAGCAUCAGUUCGCCGCGGGGGAAAAAGGCUUCGGGAACGUGGCUCCUACGGGAGUGUUAUAGCCCGUUGCAUAAUACCCUGGGGCGGACUGAGGUUCGCGCUCCGCAAGGAUGCUGGCGUAAUGGUCAUCAGCGACCCGUCUUGAAACACGGACCAAGGAGUCGUCUUCGUAUGCGAGUGUUCGGGUGUAAAACCCCUACGCGUAAUGAAAGUGAACGCAGGUGAGAGCUUCGGCGCAUCAUCGACCGAUCCUGAUGUUCUCGGAUGGAUUUGAGUAAGAGCAUACGGGGCCGGACCCGAAAGAAGGUGAACUAUGCCUGUAUAGGGUGAAGCCAGAGGAAACUCUGGUGGAGGCUCGCAGCGGUUCUGACGUGCAAAUCGAUCGUCAAAUAUGGGCAUGGGGGCGAAAGACUAAUCGAACCUUCUAGUAGCUGGUUUCCGCCGAAGUUUCCCUCAGGAUAGCAGUGUUGAACUCAGUUUUAUGAGGUAAAGCGAAUGAUUAGGGACCCGGGGGCGCUUUAUAGCCUUCAUCCAUUCUCAAACUUUAAAUAUGUAAGAAGCCCUUGUUGCUUAAUUGAACGUGGGCAUUCGAAUGUAUCAACACUAGUGGGCCAUUUUUGGUAAGCAGAACUGGCGAUGCGGGAUGAACCGAACGCGAGGUUAAGGUGCCAGAGUAGACGCUCAUCAGACACCACAAAAGGCGUUAGUACAUCUUGACAGCAGGACGGUGGCCAUGGAAGUCGGAAUCCGCUAAGGACUGUGUAACAACUCACCUGCCGAAUGUACUAGCCCUGAAAAUGGAUGGCGCUCAAGCGUCUCACCCAUACCUCGCCCUCAGGGUAGAAACGAUGCCCUGAGGAGUAGGCGGACGUGGAGGUCAGUGACGAAGCCUAGGGC
RNAcentral lists this ribosomal RNA (1326 nucleotides) under Purpureocillium lavendulum. RNAcentral describes it as "LSU rRNA". It matches the Rfam family "Eukaryotic large subunit ribosomal RNA", at positions 56 to 1416 of the family's 3401-position model. The record is from RNAcentral. Lineage: Eukaryota; Fungi; Ascomycota; Sordariomycetes; Hypocreales; Ophiocordycipitaceae.